AGACUAUGAUAAGGACAAUGCCUAAGAAAAUCAUUGUAUCUUUUCCAAGCCUCAUAUAAUGAUUUAGAAUUUAGUUGCAUGAAUGAUGUGAUAUCAUUCCUCAUUUU
RNAcentral lists this small nucleolar RNA (107 nucleotides) under Theobroma cacao (cacao). RNAcentral describes it as "Plant small nucleolar RNA R71". It matches the Rfam family "Plant small nucleolar RNA R71". Rfam says of the family: R71 is a member of the C/D box family of snoRNAs containing the C (UGAUGA) and D (CUGA) box motifs. Multiple nearly identical copies of this snoRNA have been identified in Arabidopsis, and it is thought to function as a 2'-O-ribose methylation guide for 18S ribosomal RNA. The record is from Rfam by way of RNAcentral. Lineage: Eukaryota; Viridiplantae; Streptophyta; Magnoliopsida; Malvales; Malvaceae.